UUCCUACGGGAGGCUGCAGUGGGGAAUAUUGGACAAUGGGCGCAAGCCUGAUCCAGCCAUGCCGCGUGAGUGAUGAAGGCCUUAGGGUUGUAAAGCUCUUUCACCGGAGAAGAUAAUGACGGUAUCCGGAGAAGAAGCCCCGGCUAACUUCGUGCCAGCAGCCGCGGUAAUACGAAGGGGGCUAGCGUUGUUCGGAAUUACUGGGCGUAAAGCGCACGUAGGCGGAUAUUUAAGUCAGGGGUGAAAUCCCAGAGCUCAACUCUGGAACUGCCUUUGAUACUGGGUAUCUUGAGUAUGGAAGAGGUAAGUGGAAUUCCGAGUGUAGAGGUGAAAUUCGUAGAUAUUCGGAGGAACACCAGUGGCGAAGGCGGCUUACUGGUCCAUUACUGACGCUGAGGUGCGAAAGCGUGGGGAGCAAACAGGAUUAGAUACCCCAGUAGUC
This 442-nucleotide ribosomal RNA is filed under the name uncultured Hyphomicrobiales bacterium. RNAcentral's name for it is "bacterial SSU rRNA". It matches the Rfam family "Bacterial small subunit ribosomal RNA", at positions 336 to 795 of the family's 1533-position model. Lineage: Bacteria; Pseudomonadati; Pseudomonadota; Alphaproteobacteria; Hyphomicrobiales. The record is from RNAcentral.